RNAcentral lists this ribosomal RNA (465 nucleotides) under uncultured bacterium. RNAcentral's name for it is "partial 16S ribosomal RNA". It matches the Rfam family "Bacterial small subunit ribosomal RNA", at positions 28 to 507 of the family's 1533-position model. The record is from RNAcentral.
GACGAACGCUGGCGGCGUGCUUAACACAUGCAAGUCGAACGGUGAACUCCGCUUGCGGGGGGAUCAGUGGCGAACGGGUGAGUAACACGUGGGCAACCUGCCCUCAGCUCUGGGAUAACUCCAAGAAAUUGGGGCUAAUACCGGAUAUGACCGCUGACCGCAUGGUCUGGUGGUGGAAAGAUUUAUCGGCUGGGGGUGGGCCCGCGGCCUAUCAGCUUGUUGGUGGGGUAGUGGCCUACCAAGGCGACGACGGGUAGCCGGCCUGAGAGGGUGACCGGCCACACUGGGACUGAGACACGGCCCAGACUCCUACGGGAGGCAGCAGUGGGGAAUAUUGCGCAAUGGGCGAAAGCCUGACGCAGCGACGCCGCGUGGGGGAUGACGGCCUUCGGGUUGUAAACCUCUUUCAGCAGGGACGAAGCGAAAGUGACGGUACCUGCAGAAGAAGCACCGGCCAACUACGUG